Molecule: ribosomal RNA, 584 nt
Filed under: uncultured bacterium
Lineage: Bacteria
Description: partial 16S ribosomal RNA
Rfam family: Bacterial small subunit ribosomal RNA
Source: RNAcentral
UGGGGAAUAUUGGACAAUGGGCGCAAGCCUGAUCCAGCCAUGCCGCGUGAGUGAUGAAGGCCCUAGGGUUGUAAAGCACUUUCAGCGAGGAGGAAGGUGGUGAGCUUAAUACGCUCAUCAAUUGACGUUACUCGCAGAAGAAGCACCGGCUAACUCCGUGCCAGCAGCCGCGGUAAUACGGAGGGUGCAAGCGUUAAUCGGAAUUACUGGGCGUAAAGCGCACGCAGGCGGUUUGUUAAGUCAGAUGUGAAAUCCCCGGGCUCAACCUGGGAACUGCAUUUGAAACUGGCAAGCUAGAGUCUCGUAGAGGGGGGUAGAAUUCCAGGUGUAGCGGUGAAAUGCGUAGAGAUCUGGAGGAAUACCGGUGGCGAAGGCGGCCCCCCUGGACGAAGACUGACGCUCAGGUGCGAAAGCGUGGGGCAGCAAACAGGAUUAGAUACCCUGGUAGUCCAGCGCUGUAAACGAUGUCGACUUUGGAGGUUGUGCCCUUGAGGCGUGGCUUCCGGAGCUAACGCGUUAAAUCGACCGCCUGGGGAGUACGGCCGCAAGGUUAAAACUUAAAUGAAUUGACGGGGUCAUAGCUG